AGAUAUUUAUAUUAUUAAUAGGAAAGUCAUAAAUAUAUAAAUUAUAUUAUAUAAUUAAUAUAAUAAUAAAAUAAAUUAUAUAUUUUAUUUAUAAUAUUAUUUCUUUAUAAGAUAAAUAUUAUCUAAUUAAUAAUUAGAUUGAAUAAUAUUUAUAAAGAAAUAUAUAUAAAAAAUCAUUAUAUAAAUUUAAUUAUAAUUUAAAUAAAUUUUAUAUAAAUUAAUAUAAUAUUAAUAAAGUAAUUAGUAUAAAUAAAUAAUAUGAAAAUAAAACUUAAUAAAUAUAUAAAUAUAGUCCGGCCCGCCCCGCGGGGCGGACCGGAGUCCAUAUAUAUAUAUUAAUAAAAAGUAAUAUAUAUAUAUAUAUUGGAAUAGUUAUAUUAUUAUACAGAAAUAUGCUUAAUUAUAAUAUAAUAUCCA
This 417-nucleotide non-coding RNA is filed under the name Saccharomyces cerevisiae YJM1383. RNAcentral also lists the same sequence under 4 other names. Lineage: Eukaryota; Fungi; Ascomycota; Saccharomycetes; Saccharomycetales; Saccharomycetaceae. The record is from RNAcentral.